This 213-nucleotide long non-coding RNA is filed under the name Elaeis guineensis (African oil palm). Its description in RNAcentral is "long non-coding RNA (EGUI_LNC012493)". Lineage: Eukaryota; Viridiplantae; Streptophyta; Magnoliopsida; Arecales; Arecaceae. The record is from RNAcentral.
UUCUGGCUCUCCUGUUGCCUUUGCAGCUCGGGCAUCAACUCCUCGCCAACAUUGAGACGACAAACAAGGCGGUGGAAGGUCAGCAGGCCGAGGCUGCCCACCUUAAGAAAAUGGCCCUCGAGGUGGCCGGUCUCCGAGAGGCGCUUGAGAGGGAGAGACAGACCUCGACGGAACAGAAGGCCGACCUGGAGGAGAUGGUGAGGAGGGCGGAGG